Long non-coding RNA from Pomacea canaliculata, 3982 nucleotides. RefSeq lists it as uncharacterized. The record is from RefSeq and is a predicted model, not a curated record. The transcript has 2 exons. NCBI's taxonomy places the organism in Eukaryota, Metazoa, Mollusca, Gastropoda, Architaenioglossa, Ampullariidae.
GAGAGAAAUGAUUAGUGUGUCCCCAAAGACGACGUCUCAUAGCAAAGUUCAUUGUAACCUUGGAGAGGACUGCAAGCUGGACUUGAUUAAAACAUCUUUAAUGAUGACUCAAGUCAGGAGAUACGACAUAUAGUAAAAUCAUUUUUCUUCGCUGGUGUGACAACACUCGUGUGUGUAAUUGGAAUCCCAGGAAACGUCAUCAACUGCCUGGUGUUCUGGCGACAGGGACUACAAGACCGAAUGAACUUGUGUCUCUUCUCUCUCGCGCUCACGGAUGUGUUCACUUGUUGUGUGUCCUUACAAUUUUCUCCGGGACGUCCUUUAUAACUUUGUAUGAGGCAGCUCUAGGUGAGGAAUAUUUCGUUAAAAUCUCAUCUUAUUUGUCUGGCUUUACUAAUGGUUUUCGGGCGACCUCUACUUUUAUUGGCGCCGUGAUAGCAGUGGAGAGAUGUGUUUGUGUUGUCUUUCCACUCAGUGCUGUUAGUUGUAUACGAACGAGAACCUUGGAAGCUUUACUGAUAACUUGCUUUGUCAUUUUUCUUAGCACAGGUUUGUUAUAUACAUUUUCAUACACGUCUGUGUUUUCUAAAACACUAGAAAAAGAGCAAUGGUCAUUUGCUCCCACAACAUUUUUUGAGCAACAUCGUGCAGUAGUCACAAUAAUGGUAGACGUCUUCCUUGAAACAGUUCUACGCAUCGCUUGCUUUGUGACAGUGUGUGUCAGUACAACUAUAACGGUCCACAGGCUGAGAGCAGCGAGGUCAUGGCGACAAAAGACGACCUUGACCUCCGGUAACAUCAACAGCCAGCAGGCGGCUCUCACCUCCAUGUUAGUCGUUGUGUCUGUCAUCUACAUCGCCACGUUAUUGCCAGCCGUCACGUGGCAAAUCACUGAACUGUUUUUAGCAGACAUCGUUAAUGUUUCUUUAUUGUACAACGUAACGGUGUCUGCAGCGGUCUAUUCAUGUCCGCAGAUUAACAGUUGUGUUCACAUUUUUGUGUAUUAUUUUCGAUCACAACGCUUUCGUGAGACCUUUACAAAGAUAUUUUACAGAGAUUAAAAGCAUCGAAUGUAUUAACUUUAUUAUCGGACUAUACAUGAGCAUGAUAGUAUCAAUAACAUUUUAAGAUAAUUUGUAUAAGUCGCUUAAGGAUAUAUUUUCACUACCUUAUCAGUAGGCUAUACAACAUUGAGCUAGGCGUUUUCUAUGCACUAAAACAAAAAUCUUUGUUUUUAUAACAUUUUAGACAAGGUCGAUCUUUUUUAAUAUGUUUGAAUUACUUUAACUCUGUUUUCAAGUGACGAUUUUCUGAUCGAAUGUUUUAUGAUUGCUUUAAUUUUUGAUCAGGUUUUCAGACAUAACUUGAAAGACUGAGAUAACCACGGAUUUUUUUUUAUUGCUUUUGUUUUUGUUUUUCUAAAUGGUAGGUCAAAGAGGAUAACACACUCACAUUUUACUCCUAAUACUCACUUCAUCUCACGUGAGUAGUUAAACUGCAUUACUCUCUUUGUCUGCUCUCUUUACAUGGCAUUCACCUGCCUUUUUGAAAAGAUGACUACAUACAAGUACCUAUUGAUGGCAAACUUAAUGGUACGCUCUGUGCAGCUAACACAUCAGACGAGAGUUAAGUACAUUUUUUUAUAUUUUCCUGCUGCAUCAACCAAGGUCAGUAGAGUUUAUUGCCAAUAAUGCGUAAACAAAUUCAUGUCUUAAAGAUAGAAAUUAAAAUCUAUGUGUACAGAACUUUAUGCUGUGUAAUUUUUUAUUCAAUUUUAUAUCCAACAAUAUUCGGAACAUACUCGACUAAGGGCGUUGUGUCAAACACAAUGUUAUUCGCUGUAUUAGUGUUAAUACGUGUACCAUGUUUUUUCACUGAACUUUACAAAUUCACAUACAAACAGAUACACUCAAAAUUAAUAAAGAGUAAACUGUUUCUGCAACUUUCUUUACUAUUUUCUUUAAAUAACACCAGAAAUUGUCAAAAACGUAUCGUUUACCUAUAAUAGACCAUUUUAAAUCAAGUGCAGGAAAAAGAACAUCCUCCUGUAGGUGUUUUGGUUUUCUGCCAAAUGCCUCACGUAUCUUGAAAUUCCUUUUUUUUCCCCUUAGUUAUUAGUAAGUUAGAGAGAGAGAGUCAGCAGAAUUAUGCUUUAGAAUAAAGAGUCGGUAGGUAUUAGCGGUUUAGGAGUAACGUAGUAGAGUAUGAUGGAAAUGUCUUGUAUGCGUAAAUAAUGUAAACAAAAGAAGUUUUAAAUUUACUUAUCACUUUGUGUGUGUGUGUGUGAUUGAGAGAGAGAGUUAGAACUUGUACGUUUCCUCCCUCGUCAUACCAAAGAAAUAACAAUAUUUACCAAAUAAAAAUUUUGUCUUCUUGUGCAUUUUAAUAACACACUCAUUUCAAAAAAAGUAUAGUUUGGGUACUUCAAGGUCGGCUAAAUGCGGGUGUAUAGUAAAUGAAAAGAAAAGAAAAACUACAUAGCACACCCUACGAGUAAGAGCUAGAUUUACAGUGUAAUAUUCUCCUUGGAAACUUCCAUCCUCAUCCCUAGAACAACAAAGAGGAACGGACUGAUUAGCGGUAAGGCUAUUCAAAGCCGCUAUUAACCGAUGGUCGGGCCGCAGUGUGUAGUAAGUCUUAGUCAGAAAAGCGGAUCAGUCCACCCAAAGAAUUGAUGAUACCCGGACCCGGACUUGUGGCUUGGAAAAGAAAACCGAUCAAAUAAAUUCCCUGAAUUGCUUUCAACGCCACUUGCUGAAAACAUACAACACAAGGUAGGAUAUAUUAAUGAGGCCUCCUCCAACAAACAUUCCUAAAACAGAAUAUUAGGGAUAAGUGAUAAAUAUCUGCUCCAAACAAUAGUUUUGUACAUAUUUACCUUCCACUCUUUUGAUGACAUACUCCAUGUUUAUUUUUAUUUAUUUUCUUAGUAAUUAGUUAACUACUUAUAUUAUUCUUCACAUGUAAUGGGCAGGGGCUAAAUAAAAAAGGAGUGUCUUGCUUACUGUACCACCUUGUUGUUUAUUCCUUGUUACUACUCGAGGAGCAUAGGCCUGAAACCUGCAUCGCCUUCGUUAAUAAAGAAUUGUCAUUGUUUCUCUUUCUCAGUUACACACACGAAGAUUGAUGUUUACCUAAUAGGCAUGAGCAGAACAGAUCUUCGAAGUUUAGUUCUUCAGAUAUAAUUUGUUGUGUUAUUCAUCCGACUGUAUUGAUAAACAGCAUACAUAAAGCACUGAUUAUGUGGAAAAAAUAGUAGUGCUCUACACUUACCACAAAAGAAAACAUUAUCUCGCUGGGAACCAUAUGAAGGUAAUAGAACAGUAGUAGCAAAGAAUCCUUGUACUACAGACUUGUAAAAGGCAUUUGUCGACAGUGCUGCAACCAUCAUUGUGAAAUAAAGAUGAACAUAAAAAAGUUAUACGGCUUUUCGAAGCAUUGAAGGAAACACCAGCAAGCACAACCCUCUCCUAGCAAAGCCUGUACACACUGGUAUAAUUCCUUCUGUUUCUAAGCUAUUAAAACAUAUGGUAUGGUGGAAGAAAAGGCUUGAAAUUCAAAUGCUAUAAAUUAAGAAAGAUACAUAAUUCAUAAUCCUUUUCAUUCUGUUCCUAAAACUAAUACAUGUUGUGACAAAAGAUGCGCAAGUGCACACACACACAGAUUGAAAUUUACAGCUCCUUUUUCACUACAUUAAAAAUACCAACACAAAUCUCAUUUAAGAAAUACAAUAAUUCAAAAGAAAUUGUCAAUUAAAAUAAUAAGUGUUAUUAACAACAUAAAUUAAAAUUAGAACACAAGUCCUUUAUUUGCAAAAAAAGGCAAUUUGUUAAAUUUACUUCAUUUUAGUCUCUUUAACAUCUCUACCGUGUGGUUUAAGGUCCAACGUGAAAGAAACCAGCACAACAGUUUUUCCCCAGUUUCCACCUCUCUUGAAAAUAAAUUAGCCUGGUGCAGUGCACCAGUCCAUGACAAGAACAUU